Long non-coding RNA from Pongo pygmaeus (Bornean orangutan), 3062 nucleotides. RefSeq lists it as uncharacterized. The transcript is spliced from 3 exons. The record is from RefSeq and is a predicted model, not a curated record. NCBI's taxonomy places the organism in Eukaryota, Metazoa, Chordata, Mammalia, Primates, Hominidae.
GAGGAACGGUCCUGUCGAUAAUAGUUCGGAAGAUCUCCAUCCAUGUUGUCAUGGUUUGGUUAUUCACUAGCUGAAGAGGCAACGCAUACUGGAAAAGAGAAGAACAACAACAACAUGAAUAGUAAUUCUUCCCAUCCAAAAAAAUCAUCAAUUUUAUCUAUAUUCACAAUGAAUCGUCACUUAAGCGCUGGACCCAGAGACACAGCUACAGAAGUCAAUUGGGUUUCAUAACCUCAAAGUGGAGAAAGUACUGUUAUCUCAGUGGGCAGAAUGUCAUGCUUUUGAGUUGAUGUUUGUUCUGCACUCUGCAAUGCUCAGAUCAAUCUUAACAAAUAACCUCUAAACAAAUAACCACAGAAUGAAUUGUUAUAUCUUCUCCCUGUCCAUCCUUUGGAAAUACAAACAAAAAGAAAGAACAAGGAGCAGGCAAACUUAUAGAAAUCAAAAACCAUGCUAUUUUUUUAAAUGACAGUCCCACAUUUGUCACCACUGAUGACCUCUUCAGGUCUAAUACCUCUCAACCACCAUUUUUAAAUCCAAACUACUCUCUCCUUCUCGUAGCAACUCCAAAAUGCACUGAAGAAAGUACAUUUCUGAGCCUAAAUUUACAUAUAUUAAAGAAAUUUUACCAAAGAGUCUCUUCAUUUCAGAGGUAAGAAGUAAAAAAUUAGCAACAAAAGUGAUUUGAAAUUCCAGAUCAUAACUAUCCUAAAUUUAAGAUAGGCUUCCUUCACCACACAUGAUAAUAUUAAUAAUGCUAUUAUGCUUAUCAACACCUCAAAAGAAAAGCAGCAGACCAAACAUUCAAAUUUUUUUGUUUUGCUUGGCAACAUCAAAAUACUUAAUUUUUUCCUGUUUCUUGAAAACUCACAGUAAGGUAAGAAAGGACAUUCAGCAGUGAGCAAGCUUGAUGGUAGCAAGAACACUUUAGACUGCCCACAAGCAAAAGAGAAAAAGUAUUUUGCAGAUGUAUUUCCACUUAGCAUUAGCAUUUUUUUUUUUUUUUUACAGCUUUAUACAGGCUUUCUUUUAAAGCAAAAAUCACAACAUUCUUUUUUAAGUGUCAUGCUAAAGAUAAAUUAUCUGUCUAGGUGUCUUGGAGCAUCCUUGUAUUUUAAUAAUAGAUUAAACAGAGCAGAAAAUUUAUAAAUACCACUUAAGUUUAGGUUAUAAUGUAGAAUUUUAUAAAUGUAUUUCAGAUUGUAUGAUAAAAAUGGCUGCUCUAAGAAGGCUGUCCUAAUAAGUUAGGAAAUAAUCACCAAGAUAAACUUUAUCUUGUAGUUAACAGAUUUGAAAUCUAAAUUAUGAAAAAACAAAUUAUGAAGAAAAAAAUGCCUUUCAAUGCUGUUUACAUUUUACAUCAAAACUUCAUUAAGUUGUACAGAGUUGGUGAGGAUUUGGGGAACCUAGCAUUCUAAUGCACUGUUGGUAGAAAAUGUAAGCAAAAGCAACUUAGUGAGAAGACUCUAAAUUCUAAAUGUCAUGAAUAUCCAUUAGCCAAGGAUUUCCCUUGUUAUAACUUAUUCUAUAAAAACAUUCCCACAAGUACCUAGAUACAUAUCAAAUGACACUCAUUUAGCAUUGCUUCUAUCAACAAUGAAAAAAAAGACAAUAAGCGAAAUGUCUCUCAAUAUCAAAUUGUUUAAGUAAACCAUAGUAAUUCUUAUAUAAGGAAAUACUGCACAGCUGUUAUAAAGAAUGAAAUAUCUAUGUGCACUGACUUGGAGCAAUCUUCAAGGGUACAUGGUUAAAUGAAAAAAAGGAAACUGUAAAAUAGCAUGUGUAAUAUAAACAAAAGAAUUGGAGAGCCAUGCAUCAAAGCUGAUGGCAGUCAUCUUUGGGUGUAUUAAGAACAAUGUAAGGUAUAAACUGUGUUUUUCUAAUGUUUCCAUGUCAUUAAAGGAAGACAUUAAUGUAAAAACUUGUUUUAAGAUCUUUUAAAAUGUUAUUUCUUAAAUGCUUCAUAGGAACUUUACAAUGGCCCUAUAAACACUUAGGUUUUUAAAAUAGGUUCCAUUCAACAAAAUGUUAUUCCAGAACAGCCCUAUUUUAUAAAACAAAGAUGAAACAAGUGCGAAUUGUGGUUUCAAAAAUUUACACAGAAGUCUUGUAAACCUUAUAAAAGCAAAAAAUAAUUCCAACAUCAGUGUUUUUCCAUAGGAUUUUCUUUUUUAUCUUAACCACAAAGGGAUCUUUUAGGAAAUCAUAUAUAGUGUUAUAAAUCUUCCCAAAGCUUAAUAUUUCUUUAUCUUUUUAUUCUAUGUUCAAAUUAAAUACUUUCAUCAGCAUGUAGAUUAUGACCCCAUUUCUCUGAAACUGUUCAUCUAUCCUUCUACGUGAACACAUGGAAAGGCUAAUGUUCACCUAACGUUAAUGAUGGUCAUUUCUGAGUAAUGAUGGCCAUUUCUGAGUGAUGAAUGUUGGGUAAUUUUACUUCCUUCUUUGUAUUCUUCUAAAUUGUCCAAAUUACUUACGUGUAUAUGUCACUUACAUAACAAGUAUUUUUAAAUAUUUAUUUUUAAUUAGCUAUUGUCGUUUACCUCCUUUAGCUUUUGAUUAUUAUCUUUUGAAAAUUCAUGAUCCUCUAAGGCUCUAAUUUUUAAUCUUCUGGGCUCCAAUGACCAGUCCAUAAAAAAAACAAGAUAAAAGAACAAUGUACAACAUCAUGAAACAACCUAAGAUCCCACAGACUUAAAAGUAAGUUUCAUGUUUAAAACAUAGUCCUGCUCCGCAGUCACCUGGGUUAGGAACACCUGUGCAACACAUUACCUCCAUGAUUUGCCACGUAACAGAGCUCGAAUUCACAUAUAUAAAUUCAUGGUUUUAAUCUAUGGGCCCAGAGGCUAGGCUACCAGAAAUCAUAAAACAUUAGAGAGAUCAGCUAUUAAAAUUGAGGAAGCUAACAAAAAUAAGGGCAAAGUUACAGAGGCAAGGAAUUGGUGGGUAAAAGGGAGAGGAGGAAAAAAAAAAGAGCUAGAAGAUAUUUGAGAGCUCAGUAUCUACGUCUAAAUUUCUGGGGAAAAAGAAAGUGAGUUUUUAAGUCACUGGAAAUACUUCAUGAG